AUGGAUCAGCCCGUGCAGCCAUGGGAGUACAGCCUGCGGAAGUACCUGCUGCUGCUGGCCACCCUGGUGGUCACCGUCACGUACGCCGCCGGCUUCAACCCGCCGGGGGGAGUCUGGCAGAACGCCCUCGGCGGCCGACUCGCCGGCGACCCCAUCAUCCGCGACACCAACUACCACCGCUACCUCGCCUUUUUCUACUGCAACGCCACAGCCUUCGCCGCGUCGCUCGUGGUCAUCGUCCUCAUCCUCGUCCUCGCCAUCCGCCACGACAAGAAGGGGAAGGACAGCCGCUGGGUCGUCGUGCCCCUGCGGCUCGUCAUGGUGCUGGACCUGCUCAGCCUCAUGGGCGCGUACGGCGCCGGCACCUGCCGGGACAAGAUUUCAACCGUCUAUUCCGCGGUGCUGGUGGCCAUCGUCUUCCUCUACAUCCUCGUUCUCAAGUCGAUGGACUGCUGGGACAAGAACUCCGACCCCGGCGCCGGCUCCGGCCGCGGGAUGCCUGUCGCCAAUGGCAACACCGGCUCCGGCUCUGGCAGCGCGAGGCCCAAUCCUGACUCUGGCACCGGCACGAUUUCCACCUCCAUCGCCGGCUCCGACGGCGGGAUGCCCAUCUCCAACGGCAACACCAGCUCUGGCGGCGUCAUGUGCACUCCUGAUCCCGACUCCGACGCCGGCACGAUUCCACCCCCCAUCCUCGGCUCUGACCCCACGGUCGGAGAAGACAAGGAGCGGCUCCGCCACCACAAGGCCCACAAAAAGCUGAAAGCCGAAGAACGGCUCCGCAAGGUCCUGAUGCUCCUGGCUACGUUUGCGGUGAGCAUCACGUACGUCGCCGGGCUGAGCACGCCGGGCGGCUUCUGGGACAGCACCCAGGGCAGCCACCACCCGGGUGACGCGGUUCUCAAGGACAACCAUGGCCCGCGCCUGACGGUGUUCCUGCUCUGCAACACCACGGCAUUCGUGGCGUCCCUGCUCAUUACCAUGCUGCUCAUCAUCGACGGCAAGAAGCUCCGCAAGAAGAAGACGGCUCGGUCUCGCAUGCUCUACGGGUGCAUCGUCGUUGCCCUGGUCGGUCUCGUUGCGGCGUACAUCGCCGGCAGCUGCAGGGAGAUCGAUACCACCGCCUACGUGUUCAGCCUAGUUGGCGCCGUUCUGGCAAUGGCACACAUCAUCCUACUCUAUGGUAUCUACGCUUCUUCUCGUUCCAGUCCAGUGCAACAAACUGGAGAAGUUCAGCAGACUGUUGAUAAUGUCAGUGGUAGGAAGGCUCUGGACAAGGCUCGCUCUCUUGUUCUACUGCUCGCUACUCUUGCCGCCGCCAUCACCUACACAGCGGGGUUGGACCCGCCGGGUGGCCUUUGGCAGGACAAUAGCAACGGGCACAUGGCCGGUGACCCAAUCCUUCUCACGACCAAUGCUAGGCGAUACAAGGCCUUCUUCUACUGCAACUCGGUUGCCUUUGUGGCCUCCUUGGUAGCCAUCGUCCUAGUCCAGACAGAUAUUCUGGUCAGGCACCACGUGCUGGAGGCAGCCAUGAUACUCGAUCUGUUUGGCCUCAUCGGCGCCUAUGCCGCCGGGAGCUGCCGGGAUGUGAAAACCUCCAUUUAUGCCAUAGCUUUGGCAGGCGCCGUCCUGGUCUAUGUGGUGAUCCAUAUUGUCUUCUUCACGCUGGACCACGAGGACAAAAAGGACGACGACAAGGCAAAUCAGUUGUUGGAGAAGAGGCGCAAACGGUUGCUCCUCUUUGCGAUCUUGGCCGCGACCAUUACCUACCAAGCCGGCCUCACCCCUCCUGGCGGCUUCCUGCUCCAGGAUGACAAGCUCGGACACCACGCUGGCGACCCGGUCCUCUUGUUCAACUACCCACUCCGUUACAAGGUCUUCUUCUACUGCAACUCGGUGAGCUUCAUGCUGUCCAUCUCCCUCACCAUCCUCCUUGUGAACCACAAUCUGUACAGGCCAGCCAUACGAAGCAAUGCGCUAUUUGUUUGUAUGGUCGUGGGCUUGUUGUGUUUGAUGGUGGCCUACGCCGCCGGAAGCACCCAACACCUCAAGACAUCCAUCUACAUCUUUCUGUUGGUCGGUGCGGCCCUUCUCGUUGCAGCCGGACUCCUGCUAGUAUUUUUGCUGAAGAAAAAUGACAGCGAUUCAGCAGCGCAACACACUGAACAGAACCAAGAAAUGAAGGAGUUAGAAGUGAGGAAUGGGGAUAAAGAGGAAAGAGAGGAGGCAGAAGAAAAGAAUGGGGAUAAAGAACUAAGGAAGAAGGAGGUAGAAGAAAAUAAAGAAGAAAGGAAGAAGCACGAGAGGCGGAAGUACCUGAUGCUGCUAGGCAUCUUGGUGGCAAGCGUAGCCUACCAGGCCGGCCUGAAACCGCCCGGCGGAGCGUGGCAGAGCAGUGAGAAUGGGUAUGAGGCGGGCGACCCGGUGAUGCAUGAUAACAGGAGACCCCGGUACCUCAUCUUCUUCUACAGCAACUCCUUUUCCUUCAUGGCUUCCAUUGUUGUCAUCAUGAUGUUGCUGCCGCACUGGCUGCCAAACAAGAAUAAAGAAGAAUGGGAAAAAUGGUCGCUGAGGGUGAUGAACUGGACGAUCCUACUGGAUUUGUUCACUCUCCUGGUGUCCUAUGCAGCCGGCUCCAACAGGCAGUGGAAGACGUCGGUUUAUGUCAUCGCACUCAUCUUUGCUGUGCUGGUCUACUUUGCAAUCCAUAUGACGCUGUCAUGUACUGUGUGUCGCCCCAAGAGCCCCCAAAGCAGCUCUGAAGUGUAG
Molecule: ribosomal RNA, 2772 nt
Filed under: Triticum aestivum (bread wheat)
Lineage: Eukaryota; Viridiplantae; Streptophyta; Magnoliopsida; Poales; Poaceae
Description: partial small subunit ribosomal RNA
Source: RNAcentral